This 670-nucleotide long non-coding RNA is filed under the name Brachypodium distachyon (stiff brome). RNAcentral describes it as "long non-coding RNA (BDIS_LNC002587)". Lineage: Eukaryota; Viridiplantae; Streptophyta; Magnoliopsida; Poales; Poaceae. The record is from RNAcentral.
GACAGAGUCAGGGACGAUAGGAGAAUCGAGGUCAGAGAGAGAGAGAAGAGAGAGAGAGAGAGAGAGAGCAGCGACGUCGCCGGCGGCACCGCAAGUCCGCACGGCGCAAUCUGGCUGCCGCAGUGUCGCCCGCCACCCGCCUCCACAACUGCACUAAGACACAGGUUUCUUCUGCUGCCGCUGGCCGGCUCCCCGGCUCUUCCGCCGGUGUAUCUUACAGCCUCCAGGAGCUCCCCGAGUCGCGGCGCUAGGUCACGGUUGGGCCUCGCCGUCCGGCCGUCACCGAAUCCCAGUGCGACCGUUCGCCAUCGCCGAAUCGUCGUCCAUCUCUCCGUGGCUCCCCGGCUCGGCGACUCCAAGUACCCAAUCUCCAAUCGAUAACUCUCCUCUGUUCACUGCCCUCUCCCCACAAAUUUAUGUCCUUUGAUGUUCUUUUAUUUAGUUUAUUACUCGCCCCGUACAAUAAUUAUUGUCGUGAUUUUAGUUCAAAUUAUGUGAUGAAUUUUGAGUUCCCGUUCAAUUAGCGUACAAAUCAGAUGAAUUUGUGUACGAACCAAAUGAAUUUAUAUACAAACCAAAUGAUCAUUAGCUUAGUAGUUAACAAUUGACUAUUGUGUUAAAAUUACUACGGAUUAUCCGGAAAAGAAAUUACCCGAACGUUUGGCCUGGG